Long non-coding RNA from Gavialis gangeticus (Gharial), 1872 nucleotides. RefSeq lists it as uncharacterized. NCBI's taxonomy places the organism in Eukaryota, Metazoa, Chordata, Crocodylia, Gavialidae. The transcript has 2 exons. The record is from RefSeq and is a predicted model, not a curated record.
AAGAGCUCUUUCCAUCUACUGUGGUCUCUCUGCUUACCAAGAAAUCAGAGUCUCUGGGGCAAGCAUUGAGUCAUUGUUCCUGCUGUGCCUUGACGGCCUGUUUCCAAAGUUGACUAGUGUUGUGGCUCUUACUCUUCACAGAGAGGAGAAACUGCUAAGCAGAAGUGACCUGGUCUUACAGGAGAAAUGGGGCAGAGCACAUGCCUGAAGAAGAACCUCCUGGACUUCAGGAAACUCUCUAGCACAGACUUCGUUCAUGGCUUUCAGCAAACCAUUUAGACCUCAUCCCAUUGCAAUCAAUGCAGAGAUUCCUGUUGACUUCAGUGGCCUUUGAAUCAGGUCCUGAGUCUUGGUGCCUCACGUAGCCAUCUGCGAAAUGGGGAUGAUUAUACCUCACAAGGAUGUCAUAAGGAUAAGUUCUUUAAUGUGCAAUAGAUAUUUAUGUGCUAUGGUGAUUUAGGCCAUAGGAAAACCUAGAAAGUAUGUGAUCUCCUCCACCAUCCUUUGCUCAGUGUUUGCUUCUCUUGUGUCAUGAUUUCACUCCUGCUUAACACAUUUCUUUUCCUCUGCCCCACUAUCACUCCUACAUGGAGUCUUGAAGGUGUUAAUUUUUAGACCUCUGCUCUCUCAUAAUUUCUUCCUCCUUCUCAGUCAUGUUGGCCCAUGGAGUUACAUGAGCGGCGAAUUUGCCAUGUUAUCUGAAUUUUUAUCUUAAUUACUUUAAUCACUUUUUGUGCUGAUACUCAGCUGCUCAGAUGUGGAGACUGGGAGUUAGAGCUCCUGGGUUCUGUUUCACUUGCUCACUCACCCUUCCUCUUUCACUCACUCUGUAAUCUUGCCAAAAACACAUUUAACUUCUCUUUUGGUCUGUCUGCUCAUUGAUAAAAUGGGUAUAACAAUACCAAUGCCACACAAUAACAUGAGGCUGAUUUUGUAAAACACUUUGAGACCCUAAGAUAUUCCUAAAGCAUUUUUAUUUAUGAAUUGCAGAUAGUGUGUGAUAUGGUUAGUGACUACCCUAUUCAACCUCUGUGUCAGUCUCACCCACAUAAAUUUACAGUUUUGCUCUAACCUCCUCCCCAUAAAUAGCUCAGCUUGAAGUGCAUCUCUUGGGUAUGAGAAGCAUUAUUAAGGGCUCAUCCCCUUCCUGAAUUCAGAUCUCCCACUUGACUCCUCUGUCCAUAAUCUUGGUAUCAUCCAUCAUCAUCUCCUCCUCCUGUAUCCCCUGUGUCUGUGCCUAUUACCACCUCCACUCUGCCUUGGAGAACAACUGUUUCAGCCUUACCUCUGCUCCUCCAUCAUUGACACUCUGCUUAGCUUGACUGUUUUACUUCUACCCUCUGGUGCCUUCCCAGAUUCUUGGAUCACAGCAUGCACAAAACACCCCCCUCAGAUUUGUUCCACAUAGCAGGAAACCCACUGCAUCGCCUAAUUCUCAGACACCUCUGCACACUCUCCCUCCCUUUCCCAAUCAAGUUCAGUUGCCCUUUCUGUUUUUAACACUCUCCUAUGGAGUUGUUUUGGCUUCUUUCACCUGCUGUGUGUCUCUCUGCUUCUUCCCCUUUCCUUCACUCACAUAGUACUCUCUCUCUGUCUCUCUCUUUCCCUCUUCUUCUCCCUCCUCUCAUAAAUCCUACCCCUUUUACUGCAAGAACCCUCCCCUCUUCUCUUUUUGGCAUCAGGAACAAACUCCCUAUGUCUCUCUGUCUCAUCAAGUCCCCAUUUCAUUUGAAAUAUAAUUUAAAACCCUCUCUUUUUUCAACUUGAGCCCAUUCAUUUCUCUCCUCCUGCUCUGGAGUCGUAAUACAUAUUUCUGUGUUUAUAGUAUAUAGUAAUAUCUUAUUGUAACUGUAAUAAAAAUCUGCAACUAUG